Etheostoma spectabile (orangethroat darter) is the source of this 74-nucleotide long non-coding RNA. RefSeq lists it as uncharacterized. NCBI's taxonomy places the organism in Eukaryota, Metazoa, Chordata, Actinopteri, Perciformes, Percidae. The record is from RefSeq and is a predicted model, not a curated record. The transcript has 3 exons.
UAGGGCUGGGCGAUGGGGAGAAAAUCCGAUAUCGCGCGAUUCUUGACCAAAUACCUCGAUAUCAAUAUUGUGGC